UACGGAGGGGGCAAGCGUUACUCGGAAUUAUUGGGCGUAAAGGGCGCGUAGGCGGUCGUGUGCGUCGGAGGUGAAAUCCCCGGGCUUAACCCGGGAGCUGCCUCCGAUACGGCAUGGCUUGAGUCCGGGAGAGGGGAGCAGAAUUCCCAGUGUAGCGGUGAAAUGCGUAGAUAUCUGGAGGAAUACCGGUGGCGAAGGCGGCAUCCUGGACCAUUACUGACGCUGAGGCGCGAAAGCUAGGGGAGCAAACGGG
This 253-nucleotide ribosomal RNA is filed under the name uncultured bacterium. RNAcentral's name for it is "partial 16S ribosomal RNA". It matches the Rfam family "Bacterial small subunit ribosomal RNA", at positions 524 to 776 of the family's 1533-position model. The record is from RNAcentral.